RNAcentral lists this ribosomal RNA (110 nucleotides) under Pteropus alecto (black flying fox). Lineage: Eukaryota; Metazoa; Chordata; Mammalia; Chiroptera; Pteropodidae. The record is from RNAcentral.
GUCUACGGCCAUGCCACCCUGAAUGAGCCCAAUCCCAUAGGAUCUUGGAAGCCAAUCAGGGUCGGGCCUGGUUAGUACUUGGAUGGGAGACCACCUAGGUGCUGUAGGCA